GUUAUGUCUUUUAGUAGUUGAUUUCAUAGGGUUGGAUUUUAGAUUUUGUUUUUUUUAUUGUUUUGUUAUCUUAAAUCUGCAUAGUAAUGUUUAGUAGUUUAUAUUUUGUACAAUUGAGACUUUUUGAUUAUCAAGCAAAACAUUUAGCGUUUGAGAUUUGUGGUUUAGGGUUUAGGGUUUCGUAGACCUACAAUAAAGUCUAUUUAUCUGUAGACGUCCUUUUCAGUCUAUUUUAUUGGUAUUUACAAAAAAUCUUAAAUUUUAAAUUAAAUUUAGGGUAUAGUAGACGUCUUUUUGGUCUACUAGGAUACAAUUGAUUAAUUUAGGGUAUAGUAGACGUCUUUUUUAGUUUAAUAAGACCUGAAAUUACAAAAAAGAUUGAUUAAAUUUUGUUUUUAUGGAAACGGAAAUGAUAUCAUAUAUUAAACUUAUUAUAAAAAUAAAGAAAAAAUAAAUAAAUUAUAUAUAUAAAUAAAGAACAAAAAAUAAUUUAUAUAAAUAUAUAAAUAUAUAUAUAAAAAAUUGUAAUAGACAUACCGAUUGUAGACCUACUUGUGUGUCUACGGAACCGGAAACAAUUUAAUUUAACCAAAAUAAUAUAAUCUAACAAGUAUUAAACCAGAAAAGUUUUAACCUAACCGGAUAACUUUCCCGACAUAUAAAUACAAUUUUUAGUCUUCAUUUGGUAAAAAAAGACAAACCCUAGCGGCCGUUACUCUCUCUCUCUCUCUCUCUCUCGGGCGAUUUCCGGUGAAGUCAACCCGUUUCUGCCGCUUACACUGGUUGCCGUCCCGCUGCUGCUGCUAUAUCUUCCCUCUGUAAGAUCUGAGCCGGCGAAGGAACAUUGUGUAUGUAUGUCUCUCUAUCCAACUGUUGAGCUUUUGAAGGGCUUGAGAAAGAAGAGGGCCACCUCAAAACAACUAAUCACAACAAUAUUGUAACUUCAGCUCGUUCAACUUCUCUACUCUUUUCAAGAGAAAUCAUGAGUAGGCUAUAAGCAAUCUAGCUAGAGUAGUGAUGAUUCUUCUGCCAUAACCGGCAUUGACAGCUUGCUGGCAAGUGAGGUGCCUAUCGGUUAUCAGGCUGGGACUUUCACUUUAGAGGACUGACCUACAGUCCUGGCAUGGCUCGGUCUAGGCGUUUAAGAGAGAUUCUCCACCGGUUGUAGACUUCAAUAGCGAUCUUGAAACUCUCUGAGACGAGAAAAUUGCAAGAAGGCGGAAGCUUUGUAUCCACUGUCAAUACUGUAUCACAACCAACUGUUACGGACAUUGCAGCAUCAGUAUGUCUAUGGAGUUCUUGUAUUUUAAGCCAUGGCCACAUUCAUUGGCCAAGUCUAUGUUCUAUCGUUGAUUGCACUCUUUGUGGCCGCUUCAACUGCCCUGAUUGUGCAACCAUUUUUUGGCUAGAAUUGGAGGAUAUGAAGUUUUUGGUAAUAGGUGUUUGUAUUAUAUGCCUUUGUACUAGCUAUAUUGUAUUGUGCUUUUGUAUCACUGCUGUAUUAUGUAAUUUUCUUGGAUAUUCUGUACUGAAGUGUACUCGACCGAAAGUAGACUUGUUUAAUACAACUCCAAAUGAAUACAUCAAA
Molecule: long non-coding RNA, 1588 nt
Organism: Brassica napus (rape)
Lineage: Eukaryota; Viridiplantae; Streptophyta; Magnoliopsida; Brassicales; Brassicaceae
Exons: 6
Source: RefSeq, a predicted model, not a curated record